AACCACCGGAUUGCAGUUGGAGAAAACUACGGACAAAGCACAUUUGUAACAGAUUAAACGUAAAUGUGUGCCGCUUAACAUGUUUUAAAGUUAUUGUAUUGGAAUGCUACUGAUUUGUAGUUUGUGUACGUUUAUUAACAUCUGUUUGGUUCGGUUUGUUGUCGCGGAAUUACGUGUAGAUAUCUGUGAGCUAUUAGCAUCCCAUGCAGUAAAGUCAAAACAUCGUGCAUAUCACCGUGUCACAUACAACAACUUCAUUAUCUCGGUGUCUUGCAUCAUGGAAAUUGGCAAGAGACUUUUCUCAAAACUAUAUCUGUGAUGGAUGGCUUUGAGGGGGAUGUACAGGUUGCUAUGGAAGACCAAUGACCAGUGGUCCCACUACACGCAUGAAUGGUAUUUUGAAAGGCACAAGUAGCUUCAGAAUUGAAUGGAAAAAGGACUAUUGAUAAACAUUGAGAUGAGAGGUACAUCUUACCAUUUCACAAAAAAGCUAUACAUAUGAUUGAACGCUUACCUAGAUUUUACAGACAUUAUUUUUCAUGUUGCCAACUUGUCUUUGCAUAAUUGUUUUCAAAUCAGCUGCAGUGUGCAUUAUUACAUUACGUUACACUUAAGCUUAGUUGAUGCUUUUUAUCCAAAGCAACUUACAGUUAUUUAUAGGGUAUUGGUUACAGUCCCUGGAGCAAUGUGCGGUUAGGUGCUUCGCCCAAGGGCACUUCAGCCAUCGAUGGCGGGAUCAUAGGUUGGGAUUCGAAACUGCAACCCUCUUAUCUUAAUUCCACCUCACUAACCACUAGGCGCUUUUAGCUACACUAUGGUAUGAA
Engraulis encrasicolus (European anchovy) is the source of this 824-nucleotide long non-coding RNA. RefSeq lists it as uncharacterized. The transcript is spliced from 3 exons. The record is from RefSeq and is a predicted model, not a curated record. NCBI's taxonomy places the organism in Eukaryota, Metazoa, Chordata, Actinopteri, Clupeiformes, Engraulidae.